AUUGAACGCUGGCGGCAUGCCUUACACAUGCAAGUCGAACGGUAACGGGCCUUCGGGUGCCGACGAGUGGCGAGCGGGUGAGUAAUACAUCGGAACGUGCCCGAUCGUGGGGGAUAACGAGGCUAAAGCUUUGCUAAUACCGCAUACGAUCUACGGAUGAAAGCAGGGGACCGCAAGGCCUUGCGCGGACGGAGCGGCCGAUGGCAGAUUAGGUAGUUGGUGGGAUAAAAGCUUACCAAGCCGACGAUCUGUAGCUGGUCUGAGAGGAUGAUCAGCCACACUGGGACUGAGACACGGACCAGACUCCUACGGGAGGCAGCAGUGGGGAAUUUUGGACAAUGGGCGCAAGCCUGAUCCAGCCAUGCCGAGUGCAGGAUGAAGGCCUUCGGGUUGUAAACUGCUUUUGUACGGAACGAAAAGCCUUCUUUUAAUACAGGAGGGUCAUGACGGUACCGUAAGAAUAAGCACCGGCUAACUACGUG
This 482-nucleotide ribosomal RNA is filed under the name uncultured bacterium. RNAcentral describes it as "partial 16S ribosomal RNA". It matches the Rfam family "Bacterial small subunit ribosomal RNA", at positions 30 to 507 of the family's 1533-position model. The record is from RNAcentral.